CAGUAUAUUGGUGUUGUGUUAGUUUUACAACAAUGUAAAAUUAACCAAGUGUAUCCAAUGUCCAUUUUUAACAUCAAAUUACCUGUUACCUCCACCAAAGUUUUGCAGAACAUUCAACGAAUCUCUAUGAAAGUAGCCCUCUCAGAUGCCAAAAGAAAAUUCUACAAAUCCUUAAAGAAUGAGGCCAAUGCAUGGGAAAAUUUACAACAAUUACAGGUGCAGGACCAAACUCUAAAAGACUUAGAUAAAGAACAGGAGGGUCUUGGAAAACAUUUAAGAAUGAAAUAUAUUAAAAAACUCAAGUGGGUUCUCUAAAAUCAACGCCCAAGAGGCCCUAAGGCGCAUCUACCACUAGAUAAUGUGGUUACACUUCUAAGUGGAAUAACCUUGCUGCAUUAUGCAACUGAACUCUUCCAAAAAGGCCAGAUGUGCGCGGUUGAGCAAACCCUAGACGUAAGAACACAAAUACAUACCGUGGAAGAUCUGUUACUUGAUCCGCAGCUUCAACCCUUAGAAAAAGAGAAAUUAAGAUGGGUCUAUGUAAAAGAAACAACCCAAGACAGAAAAAAUAUGAAGAACAAAUCAUAUAAAGGCACCCUACAGCUAGUCAGAAGUACUAAACGAUGGAUGGAAGCCAACCGUAUAAUUGCGACCAGGGAAGAUAAAACGAAGAAAAUGGUUUUAAUAAAAGAAGAAGAGUAUAAAGCCUAUAUCUCCGAAUACAUUGAACAGUCAGCUCCAAUGCUGCUACAAAACGACCCCACACAACAGCUUAGCAUAGAGCUCAAUAACUUGUGUAAAAAGCAUACCUUCCCAAAAAUCUGGGCACAUCACCC
RNAcentral lists this long non-coding RNA (836 nucleotides) under Androctonus crassicauda. Lineage: Eukaryota; Metazoa; Arthropoda; Arachnida; Scorpiones; Buthidae. The record is from RNAcentral.